RNAcentral lists this ribosomal RNA (254 nucleotides) under uncultured bacterium. RNAcentral describes it as "partial 16S ribosomal RNA". It matches the Rfam family "Bacterial small subunit ribosomal RNA", at positions 524 to 776 of the family's 1533-position model. The record is from RNAcentral.
UACGUAGGGUGCGAGCGUUAAUCGGAAUUACUGGGCGUAAAGCGUGCGCAGGCGGUUUUGUAAGCCAGAUGUGAAAUCCCCGGGCUUAACCUGGGAACUGCAUUGGUGACUGGCAGGCUUUGAGUGUGGCAGAGGGAGGUAGAAUUCCACGUGUAGCAGUGAGAUGCGUAGAGAUGUGGAGGAAUACCGAUGGCGAAGGCAGCCUCCUGGGCCAACACUGACGCUCAUGCACGAAAGCGUGGGGAGCAAACAGG